AGGAAGAGGAGGAGCUGAUCUGUUCCUGAUCUCUAAAGAGACUCAAACUUCCUCCUUCAGUUCAGUUCAACUCUCCAACAUUAACUCUGCUCAACAUGGACUAUUAUGGUCUGUCUCUGCUCAUCAUCUCUCUGCUAACAGGUGUCAGAUGUGAUCAACCGAUUCCCUCGUACAGUGAAGUGUUCAAUUUAGUCGGCAGCUUUGUUCCUCUGAGCUACACUUUAUCCAAACCAGCAGCUGUUAAUGAUUAUUUCUUCUGGUACCGACAAUAUCCUGGAAAACCUCCAGAGUUCCUGAUCUCUCACACAGCAAAGGGAGGAGAAUUAUCUCAGCCGCUUCCUGGUUUUUCUAUUAGAGUGAAUGCUGAUAAAACCCAGAUGGAUCUGCUGAUCUCCUCUGCUGCAGUGACAGACUCUGCUGUGUACUACUGCGCUGUGAAGCCCACAGUGACAGGAAACACCAGAACCCUGUACAAAAACCUGCAGUUCUCCACAGCAGCCACUAGAGGGCCUCUCUCCCUGUUAAACUACAAAAAUUAGGACUUUAUAAAAAGUCCUGUUUGUUAACUGACAGACAAAUAUUAGAAUAAAGGAGGAACAUGUUUAUCAUCCCAGACCCCAGACAGGACUCCUACCUGCACUCUGGCAGUCACACCUGACUGCAGCUUACCAACAUGCUGACAAUAUUUUAGUAGUUUAUCAUGAGUUAAUUGCUGGGAGAACAGAGUCUCUCUCCAGGGAAAUAUCAAACAGCCAACAUUUAAACCAUGAGGCUGUUUGUGAACAAGCAGCAGAUCACUUUUUAAAUGAUGACGAAGGCCAUAUGCUGAGCUGAGGAUGCUGCCUGGACCCCAUGAAGGGAUGCAGAGACUGUAGAUCUUUGGGAAACUCUGGACUGGCUUUGUUUCCUCCAGAUUGUGCUCCGGUCUGUAAAAUGGGCUUGUGUUUAAUAAAAAUGUUCUUUUUAUUCAUCUUA
This is a non-coding RNA of Xiphophorus hellerii (green swordtail), 975 nucleotides long. The record is from the annotation of a RefSeq genome assembly. Lineage: Eukaryota; Metazoa; Chordata; Actinopteri; Cyprinodontiformes; Poeciliidae.